Molecule: ribosomal RNA, 467 nt
Filed under: uncultured bacterium
Lineage: Bacteria
Description: partial 16S ribosomal RNA
Rfam family: Bacterial small subunit ribosomal RNA
Source: RNAcentral
GACGAACGCUGGCGGCGUGCUUAACACAUGCAAGUCGAACGGAAAGGCCCUGCUUUCGUGGGGUGCUCGAGUGGCGAACGGGUGAGUAACACGUGAGUAACCUGCCCUUGACUUUGGGAUAACUUCAGGAAACUGGGUCUAAUACCGGAUAGGCGCUCCUGCUGCAUGGUGGGGGUUGGAAAGUUUCGGCGGUUGGGGAUGGACUCGCGGCUUAUCAGCUUGUUGGUGGGGUAGUGGCUUACCAAGGCUUUGACGGGUAGCCGGCCUGGGAGGGUGACCGGCCACAUAGGGACUGAGAUACGGCCCAGACGCAUACGGGAGGCAGCAGUGGGGAAUAGUGCACAAUGGGCGGAAGCCUGAUGCAGCAACGCCGCGUGCGGGAUGACGGCCUUCGGGUUGUAAACCGCUUUCGCCUGUGACGAAGCGUGAGUGACGGUAAUGGGUAAAGAAGCACCGGCUAACUACGU